Molecule: ribosomal RNA, 530 nt
Filed under: Sticta globulifuliginosa
Lineage: Eukaryota; Fungi; Ascomycota; Lecanoromycetes; Peltigerales; Lobariaceae
Description: eukaryotic LSU rRNA
Rfam family: Eukaryotic large subunit ribosomal RNA
Source: RNAcentral
CAACAGCUCAAAUUUGAAAUCUGGCCCUCUCGGGGUCCGAGUUGUAAUUUGUAGAGGGUGCUUCGGGCGCGAUGCCGGUCUAAGUUCCUUGGAACAGGACGUCGUAGAGGGUGAGAAUCCCGUAUGCGACCGGCGAUCAAGCCCGUGCGAAGCCCCUUCGACGAGUCGAGUUGUUUGGGAAUGCAGCUCAAAAUGGGUGGUAAAUUUCAUCUAAAGCUAAAUACCGGCCAGAGACCGAUAGCGGACAAGUAGAGUGAUCGAAAGAUGAAAAGCACUUUGGAAAGAGAGUCAAACAGUACGUGAAAUUGUUGAAAGGGAAGCGCUUGCAAUCAGACCGGUCCGGAGGCGAUCAGCCGCUGCUCGUCAGCGGUGCACUCGCCUGCGAUCCGGCCAGCAUCGGUUUGGGCGGCGGGAUAAAAGUCCCGGGAAUGUAGCUUCUCCCGGGGAGUCUUAUAGCCCGGGUCGCAAUGCCGCCCGCCCGGACCGAGGACCGCGCUUCGGCUAGGAUGCUGGCGUAAUGGUUGCAAGCG